This 876-nucleotide long non-coding RNA is filed under the name Olea europaea (common olive). RNAcentral describes it as "long non-coding RNA (OEUR_LNC004922)". The record is from RNAcentral. Lineage: Eukaryota; Viridiplantae; Streptophyta; Magnoliopsida; Lamiales; Oleaceae.
UAACAUUAAGUUAGGUAGAAUAAUUUAGAUCAUACAAUUUGUUUUCGUCAAAUGGAAAUUAGAAAUAGUACAAUAAGAAUAAAUAAUAGUCUGUGUAAAAAUGAUUAUAUGGACUCAUAGAUCCUUUAUAAUAGUUGUUCGAUAUCGUACACUUACGACAGAAAACAAAAGCAACACUUAUGAAGCAUCUAACUUUGACAUUUCACAAUAGAGAGAUUUAGCUUUAUUAAAGUAUUGACUUGCGGUGAAUUCUCCUUGAGUGAUCGAGAGAAGCUCGUUUUCCAGAAGCUGCAGCCUCAAGUUAUUUUUCUUUGAGAAUAGUGAGGCCAAAGUGUCCCAUGCAUCCUUUGGUGUAGUCUUAUCUCUUAUGUGCUCCAACAAUUAUUCUUCGAUUGUUGUCUUUAUAACAAACAAAGCCUUACCUGCUUUGAUUCUCCAUUUCUUUAGAGCUCCGGGCUCCUCUGGUGGCGUUACUUCACUUCCGCUAACUACCUCAACUGGUCUUGCCCUUGGAGAUACGACUCUAUGCAAGUUUGCCAUGUGGUAUAAUUCUAAUUAUUGAGCUUCUUUACUCUGCCUACUGCUUGUAGGUCACUCAUCAUGACUUGAUUUACCUCAUCGUAAUCAAGCAAGCUUUACAAAAGCUUCACAAACUCCUUUUGUUCACGAACUCAAAAAGCUCAAAAAAUCCUUCCCCGACCGCCUUGCUCUGAUACCAAUUUGUAGAGUUUAAAUAGUAAAAGAAAAUAAUUUUUAUUGAUAAGAUAAAUUUUUACACAAUUUUUGAUACACAGUGAGAUCACUAUCCUCACUUAUAUUAUUUAGAAAUGGAGCACUAACAAUAUUUUCUCUCUUUCACUGACUACACUCUUUUCA